ACUGAUCCCGCUGUUGCUGCAAUAAUGGAGGCCGCUGAUCCUACAAGUGGAAUGGAUGGAUACGUUUAUUUUUCAGAGAAUUGAAAAUACUGAUGGCUUUCACUGAUAGCUGUGAACUUCUGAACUUGUCUGCAGACUUUCAAUAUUGCAACACUGAUGGAUGAGGCAUCCUCGACCCAUUUGUUAACACAUCUCAGCAUUGGAGAACUACAGUGAAAACACUACAGUAUCACAUCACUGAAUCCCCCACUAUCAACAUCCUGGAGGUUACCAUUGACUAGAAACUCAACUGGAUUCAUCUCAUAAUCACAGUGACUACAAGAGCUGGUCAGAAGCAAGGAAUAUUUUGGACAGUAACUCAUCGUCUAACUCCUCAAAGCCUAUCCAGCAUCUACAAGGUACGUGUCAGGUGUGCGAUGGAACACUCCACACUUGCUUGGAUGGAUUCAGCUCCAAAAGCAUUCAAAAUUGACACCGUACAGGACAAGUCAGCUUGCGAGAUUGGCAGCACAGCCCCAAACAUCCAUUCCAUACACCACUGACACUCAGUAGCAGAGUGUGUGCUGUCCAAAAAAUGCACAGCAGAAAUCCAUCAUAGAUCGUCAGAUAGCAUCUUCCAAACUCAUGACAACUUCCAGAAGGACAAGAGCAGCAUAUAACACCACCUCCAAGUUUCCCUCCAAGCCACUCACCAUCUUGACUUGGAAAUAUAUCACUAUUCCUUCACUGCCACUGGGGCAAAAUCUGGGAAAUACUUCUCUGAUGGCAUUGUGGAUCAACCCACAGUAGGUGGGCAGCAGCAAUUCAAGAAGGCAAAUCACUACAUCUUCUCAAAGGCAACCAGGGAAGGGUAUAAAUGCUGGCCAGCCAGCAACAUCCACAUCUUGUGAAUGAAUAAAAGAAAAAAGAGAGGAGAA
Long non-coding RNA from Stegostoma tigrinum, 917 nucleotides. RefSeq lists it as uncharacterized. The record is from RefSeq and is a predicted model, not a curated record. The transcript has 3 exons. NCBI's taxonomy places the organism in Eukaryota, Metazoa, Chordata, Chondrichthyes, Orectolobiformes, Stegostomatidae.